This 673-nucleotide ribosomal RNA is filed under the name uncultured bacterium. RNAcentral describes it as "bacterial SSU rRNA". It matches the Rfam family "Bacterial small subunit ribosomal RNA", at positions 202 to 878 of the family's 1533-position model. The record is from RNAcentral.
UAAAGAUUUAUCGGUGAUGGAUGGGGAUGCGUCUGAUUAGCUUGUUGGCGGGGUAACGGCCCACCAAGGCGACGAUCAGUAGGGGUUCUGAGAGGAAGGUCCCCCACAUUGGAACUGAGACACGGUCCAAACUCCUACGGGAGGCAGCAGUGAGGAAUAUUGGUCAAUGGGCGAGAGCCUGAACCAGCCAAGUAGCGUGCAGGAAGACGGCCCUAUGGGUUGUAAACUGCUUUUAUAGGGGAAUAAAGUGAGCCACGUGUGGUUUUUUGCAUGUACCCUAUGAAUAAGGACCGGCUAAUUCCGUGCCAGCAGCCGCGGUAAUACGGAAGGUCCGGGCGUUAUCCGGAUUUAUUGGGUUUAAAGGGAGCGUAGGCCGGAGAUUAAGCGUGUUGUGAAAUGUAGAUGCUCAACAUCUGCACUGCAGCGCGAACUGGUUUCCUUGAGUACGCAUAAAGUGGGCGGAAUUCGUGGUGUAGCGGUGAAAUGCUUAGAUAUCACGAAGAACUCCGAUUGCGAAGGCAGCUCACUGGGGCGCAACUGACGCUGAAGCUCGAAAGCGCGGGUAUCGAACAGGAUUAGAUACCCUGGUAGUCCGCGCGGUAAACGAUGGAUGCCCGCUGUUGGGCCAACUGGUUCAGCGGCCAAGCGAAAGCAUUAAGCAUCCCACCUGGGG